RNAcentral lists this long non-coding RNA (495 nucleotides) under Olea europaea (common olive). Its description in RNAcentral is "long non-coding RNA (OEUR_LNC002590)". Lineage: Eukaryota; Viridiplantae; Streptophyta; Magnoliopsida; Lamiales; Oleaceae. The record is from RNAcentral.
GGGGGAUUAUGUGGUUCUCUCUGUCGUCUUCUGCUUCAUCCUUCACCUUGCCUUUGUGGCUUUCCUCUUGGUGCUUUAACAUUCCUUAGUGGUGGUUCUCUAAGUGAGUAAACUUUUUGCAACAGUACGUGAAGGCUUAAAGGUGUUCUUCGAUCGUUUGGUUUGAGGUGUUGAUUUGGGUUUGUGAAACUCGGCCUGAAAACCUUGGUGGUGGGCUAUUGGUGGCUCUACAGAAAUUUGUAAAGCUAUUAAUUUAUUUCAACAUGGAUAGAUUGUUAAAAAAAAAAAAAUUAUUUAUUUUUAAUGUAUCCAUAGCAAAAGUGCUUAUAUAGAAUUGAAAGACUUCUUGGAAAAAUUAAUAAGAGAACUUAUGGAAAACUGACUAUAUCAUUGUAUUUAACUUUUUACAUUACUCAGCUAUGGUUUUGGAUAUUACUUGCAGUUGAAUACUAAAUUGAGUGAUAAUAGAGAUCACUCUUCUUAAAUUUAAAUUUU